RNAcentral lists this ribosomal RNA (497 nucleotides) under uncultured bacterium. RNAcentral describes it as "partial 16S ribosomal RNA". It matches the Rfam family "Bacterial small subunit ribosomal RNA", at positions 28 to 507 of the family's 1533-position model. The record is from RNAcentral.
GAUGAACGCUGGCGGCGUGCCUAAUACAUGCAAGUCGAGCGAACAGAUAAGGAGCUUGCUCCUUUGACGUUAGCGGCGGACGGGUGAGUAACACGUGGAUAACCUACCUAUAAGACUGGGAUAACUUCGGGAAACCGGAGCUAAUACCGGAUAACAUAUUGAACCGCAUGGUUCAAUAGUGAAAGGCGGCUUUGCUGUCACUUAUAGAUGGAUCCGCGCCGUAUUAGCUAGUUGGUAAGGUAACGGCUUACCAAGGCAACGAUACGUAGCCGACCUGAGAGCGUGAUCGGACACACUGGAACUGAGACACGGUCCAGACUCCUACGGGAGGCAGCAGUAGGGAAUCUUCCGCAAUGGGCGAAAGCCUGACGGAGCAACGCCGCGGGAGUGAUGAAGGUCUUCGGAUCGUAAAACUCUGUUAUCAGGGAAGAACAAAUGUGUAAGUAACUGUGCACAUCUUGACGGUACCUGAUCAGAAAGCCACGGCUAACUACGUG